CGCACGGGUGCGUAACGCGUAACCAACCUACCUGGAUCUGGGGGAUAGCCCGCCGAAAGGCGGAUUAAUACCGCAUAAGCAGUGGAGACCGCAUCGUCUUUUUUGUAAAGAUUUAUUGGAUUCAGAUGGGGUUGCGUAGCAUUAGCUAGUUGGCGGGGUAACGGCCCACCAAGGCGACGAUGCUUAGGGGACCUGAGAGGGUGAUCGGACACACUGACACUGAAUAACGGGUCAG
This 235-nucleotide ribosomal RNA is filed under the name uncultured bacterium. Its description in RNAcentral is "partial 16S ribosomal RNA". It matches the Rfam family "Bacterial small subunit ribosomal RNA", at positions 99 to 334 of the family's 1533-position model. The record is from RNAcentral.